Molecule: long non-coding RNA, 356 nt
Filed under: Rattus norvegicus (Norway rat)
Lineage: Eukaryota; Metazoa; Chordata; Mammalia; Rodentia; Muridae
Description: long non-coding RNA NONRATT014497
Source: RNAcentral
UGAGAAAUGAGCAUGUUUUUAAUGCAAGAACUUCUUGGUUUGGUGUAUAAAAGAACUAAUUCAAAUACAAUUAGAAAAGUUACAAUGUUUGAUUUUAGUUUUCAGUCAUGUUUUGCAUUUUUGAUUUAAUUAGGUUCUUCCAUUCAGUCAACCCUUGGUGCCAAUGGAGCAAUACUAGACAGCCAGCCUAUAGUGAAGAAAAGGCGGGGAAGGAGGAGGAAUGUAGAAGGUGCUGACAUCCUCUUUCUGAACAGAAAUAAGCCACCUAAUCAUAUUUCCACAGGGAUGAAUCCAGCACUGUCCUAUCCUCAGCCUCAAAGAAUUCCUGAUACAGAAAGUCCUGUUCCAGUUAUUAA